AGAACGAACGCUGGCGGCAGGCUUAACACAUGCAAGUCGAGCGCCCCGCAAGGGGAGCGGCAGACGGGUGAGUAACGCGUGGGAAUCUACCCAACCCUACGGAAUAACACAGGGAAACUUGUGCUAAUACCGUAUACGCCCUACGGGGGAAAGAUUUAUCGGGGUUGGAUGAGCCCGCGUUGGAUUAGCUAGUUGGUGGGGUAAUGGCCUACCAAGGCGACGAUCCAUAGCUGGUCUGAGAGGAUGAUUAGCCACACUGGGCUGAGACACGGCCCAGACUCCUACGGGAGGCAGCAGUGGGGAAUAUUGGACAAUGGGCGAAAGCCUGAUCCAGCCAUGCCGCGUGAGUGAUGAAGGCCUUAGGGUUGUAAAGCUCUUUCAGUGGGAAGAUAAUGACGGUACCACAGAAGAAGCCCCGGCUAACGUUCGCGCCAGCAGCCGC
Molecule: ribosomal RNA, 442 nt
Filed under: uncultured bacterium
Lineage: Bacteria
Description: SSU rRNA
Rfam family: Bacterial small subunit ribosomal RNA
Source: RNAcentral